AACGAACGCUGGCGGCAUGCCUAACACAUGCAAGUCGAACGAGACCUUCGGGUCUAGUGGCGCACGGGUGCGUAACGCGUGGGAACCUGCCCUUAGGUUCGGAAUAACUCCCCGAAAGGGGUGCUCAUACCGGAUAAUGUCUUCGGACCAAAGAUUUAUCGCCUUUGGAUGGGCCCGCGUUGGCUUAGCUAGUUGGUAGGGUAAAAGCCUACCAAGGCGACGAUCCAUAGCUGGUCUGAGAGGAUGAUUAGCCACUCUGGGACUGAGACACGGCCCAGACUCCGGCGGGAGGCAGCAGUGGGGAAGAAUGGACCAUGGGCGAGAGCCUGAUCCAGCAAUGCCGCGUGAGUGAUGAAGGCCUUAGGGUUGUAAAGCUCUUUUACCCGGGAUGAUAAUGACAGUACCGGGAGAAUAAGCUCCGGCUAACUCCGUG
Molecule: ribosomal RNA, 433 nt
Filed under: uncultured bacterium
Lineage: Bacteria
Description: partial 16S ribosomal RNA
Rfam family: Bacterial small subunit ribosomal RNA
Source: RNAcentral